GGAAGUAAAAGUCGUAACCAGGUUUCCGUAGGUGAGCCUGCGGAAGGAUCAUUCAUAAUAAAGUGUUUUAUGGCACUUUUUAAAAAUCCAUAUCCACCUUGUGUGCAAUGUUAGAUCUCGUCAAUCUUGGCGAGAUUUUUAUACAUCAACUCAUUCUUUAACUAAUUUGUCUGAAAAAUAUUAUGAAUACUUAAUUCAAAAUACAACUUUCAACAACGGAUCUCUUGGCUCUC
This 233-nucleotide unclassified non-coding RNA is filed under the name plant metagenome. RNAcentral describes it as "partial contains small subunit ribosomal RNA, internal transcribed spacer 1, and 5.8S ribosomal RNA". The stretch from base 1 to 54 matches the Rfam family "Eukaryotic small subunit ribosomal RNA", at positions 1778 to 1831 of the family's 1831-position model. The record is from RNAcentral.